UACGUAGGGUCCGAGCGUUGUCCGGAAUUAUUGGGCGUAAAGGGCUCGUAGGCGGUUUGUCGCGUCGGGAGUGAAAACACGGGGCUUAACCCCGUGCCUGCUUCCGAUACGGGCAGACUAGAGGUAUGCAGGGGAGAACGGAAUUCCUGGUGUAGCGGUGAAAUGCGCAGAUAUCAGGAGGAACACCGGUGGCGAAGGCGGUUCUCUGGGCCUUACCUGACGCUGAGGAGCGAAAGCGUGGGGAGCAAACAGG
RNAcentral lists this ribosomal RNA (253 nucleotides) under uncultured bacterium. Its description in RNAcentral is "partial 16S ribosomal RNA". It matches the Rfam family "Bacterial small subunit ribosomal RNA", at positions 524 to 776 of the family's 1533-position model. The record is from RNAcentral.